UGCCAGCAGCCGCGGUAAUACAGAGACUGCAAGCGUUAUUCGGAUUCACUGGGCGUAAAGGGUGCGCAGGUGGCCAGGUGUGUGAGGCGUGAAAGCCCGAUGCUUAACAUCGGAAUUGCACCUCAAACUACUUGGCUAGAGCAUUGGAGAGGGAAGCGGAAUUCACGGUGUAGCAGUGAAAUGCGUAGAUAUCGUGAGGAACACCAGAGGCGAAGGCGGCUUCCUGGACAAUUGCUGACACUCAGGCACGAAAGCGUGGGGAGCAAAAGGGAUUAGAUACCCCUGUAGUCCACGCCCUAAACGGUGCACACUAGGUCUUGGCGGAUUUGACCCCGCCAGGGCCCAAGCUAACGCGUUAAGUGUGCCGCCUGAGGACUACGGUCGCAAGACUAAAACUCAAAGGAAUUGACGGGGGCCCGCACAAG
RNAcentral lists this ribosomal RNA (425 nucleotides) under uncultured bacterium. Its description in RNAcentral is "bacterial SSU rRNA". It matches the Rfam family "Bacterial small subunit ribosomal RNA", at positions 506 to 929 of the family's 1533-position model. The record is from RNAcentral.